This is a long non-coding RNA of Mastomys coucha (southern multimammate mouse), 1656 nucleotides long. RefSeq lists it as uncharacterized. The transcript is spliced from 2 exons. The record is from RefSeq and is a predicted model, not a curated record. NCBI's taxonomy places the organism in Eukaryota, Metazoa, Chordata, Mammalia, Rodentia, Muridae.
GAUGUACAGCUGGUCUGUCUGUAUUCUGCAUUUCUUCAACUUGGCAAAUUCCAUCCAUGUUCUCUUUCUUUUUCCACAUUUCAGGUAAAAGUCAUUCAUAGAGGGAACUCAACGCAGCAGAGAAUGAUGCUCUUUGACUGGAAGCAGAACAUUAGAGGAGGAACUGAAGCAGAAGCUGUGGAGGAAUAGGCUCUCUGGCUUGUAAUUUUUGGCUUACUCAAUUACAUUUCUUUUAUAGUGGAGGGCCACCUGCCCAGGAAUGGCAUUUGUCACAGUUGUCUGUAACCCCCUGUAUCAACCGGCAGUUAAAAACAUGACUCACAGAUUUGCUCACAUCCCAAUUCCAUGGAGCAAUUUCUCAAUUGAAGUUCCCCUUUCCUAUGUGAUUCUAGUUUGUGCCAAGUUGACUAAGCAAAUACAUAAAUAAUCAAUACAGAAGACAAAAGUGAAGACUACCCUGGGAGUUCUGUCUACAUCCCUGACUUCCUUUUCCCUACAUCCCCAUUGUUGUGGAUUUGGUUUAUUGUUUGCAUUACGUUAAUUGGUUUCCCAAAGUUAUAUAAGAGUCUGCACUUCUACAUGUAGGACACUGAGGGUCCUUGUCCCCAGUUGGUUCUAAUUGGUAAAUAAAGUUCCCAUCAGUGAAUAUCUGAACAGGGAGACAGAGAUGAGACUUUAGAUUUCCCAGGGAAUGGAAACCCAGGGAAGAAGGAUUUAGUACCAUCAUACCAAGGAAGCACAAGGAUCAGGCUUGAAAGCUGCAGAAGAGAGAGCUGAUACAAUCAUGAAAAAGUCAGGGAAGAGUAGCUCCAGCCACCCCCCCCCAACCCUCAAUUUGAUCUAGAAUAACAAAGAUGGAAUAUAGAUUUUAAUAAGCAAUAAUUCAGGAAUAUUGGAGGGGAGGUGUUAGCAAUGUGGAAGUUUGGAUAUGCCCGAGCCAUUGAGCUGAUUAAGGCUUAUUAAAUAUAAUGCUGCAUGUGUGUGUGUGUGUGUGUGUGUGUGUGUGUGUGUAUCUUUCAUUGCAGAAUCCAGAACAUUAGGAGAGCAAGGGAGCCCUGUGCUGACAGCAGGUGAUUAGAGCAGAUUAAUCAACUACAGCUACACUUAUCUCUCUCUUCCUCUUCUCUUCAUCUGGGUCUCUGACAGGAGAACUUAUUUAUUGUUAGUUUUAUCGUGUACCAAUAAAUGUGUUUUUCCUUCACAUAAUAAUGCUUCAAGGUUUUACUAUAUUUCACAGUGGAAAAACUGUUACAAAAGAAACUGGAAUGAAAUUUAAAAGUGGCAUCUGAAUUAGGACUAUUGAACAUGGGCAUUAAACGGGGCAUGGGCUUGGGUAUUGUAGCGAUACCCGAUUCUCAUAAUUAUAACUGAAAAUAAAUUGUUUUUAAACAAUUUCAAAUGUUAUUUGGACAUGAAUAGUGUGUUUCCAUCUGUUAACUAUAUUUACAAAGUAAUAUGUAUUUAAAAUGUCAAACAAAGAGUAUGUGGAUUUUAAAAAGUUAUCUUAUACAUAGUAUUUAAAUUGUUUUAUGUUUUCAGUAAGUCAUGGAACACAACUGCUAUGCAAUGUCCAUCCAGAAAAACAGGGAGGAAUUUCUGACAUCUGCAUGCUGAUUUCUAUAAACAUUAAAAUAAUUCUGGAGAAGAUAAGCUUAA